Molecule: long non-coding RNA, 854 nt
Organism: Aethina tumida (small hive beetle)
Lineage: Eukaryota; Metazoa; Arthropoda; Insecta; Coleoptera; Nitidulidae
Exons: 2
Source: RefSeq, a predicted model, not a curated record
AUUACUGAUACUUGGACGUAAUGCAAUAUUUAUAUUAAAUUUAUAUCGCUCGUGCCGAAAAACCCAGUUCAGAUAAAUGAACUAGACAAAACCAAAACAUUGAUAAAUCUUCACCUCAGGUUCCCGGAUCCGUUUUUUUUUCGUUCGUCGUAUAAAAUACAAGUUCACUUUCUGUUUAUAAAUAUGCAGCCCAAAUAAAUAAUUAUAAAUAAAUUGCAACAAAUGAUACUUACAAAAAAUAAUUAACACAUUAAGAACGAACGUCAAUUCAAUAAUAGUCUGUUCCCAUUUGACAAUGACCAUGACCGCUGAACCCGUUGACGCUGAUAGUAGCUAUAAAUACAAUUUAUAAAGGGAACGCGUGGUCAGAUCGAGCAUACAAUCAAGUGAACUUCAGUUUGCUAGUGAGUGUUGUACUGUGAAGUGAAAGAUGUUCACCAAUCCGUUUUGCCGCACGCACAGCACCAUCCGUCAUGCCAUCGACAAGUUUUUACAUAUCGAUCAGAAAAGAAACUCCAAAGGGCACAGACUGACCAGGAACUCUUCAGAUUCAUCAGUGCUCUCGUUCAAAAGCCACUGUUCAACGUGCCUAUCUCAUCAGUCCUUCAGCAGUGACCGAAAAUUACUACCUAAAUGAUGAUUUUGUGAACAUCAUAUCAUAAACCUCUUCCAUAUUGGAUGAAUGAAUAGCAAUUCCCAGUGCAAGACUGAAAUUUAUCGAUGACAUUAGAUAUUGCCAAUGAAACCCCUCUGUGAUUAUAUAGACAAUUCGUAAGGAUGAUAGACAAAAUGGACUAUAUUAUGUUCGGCUUUACUUUAUGAUUUAUUGUUUUAAAUAAAUCUCAAUAAUUUUA